RNAcentral lists this ribosomal RNA (465 nucleotides) under uncultured bacterium. RNAcentral's name for it is "partial 16S ribosomal RNA". It matches the Rfam family "Bacterial small subunit ribosomal RNA", at positions 338 to 795 of the family's 1533-position model. The record is from RNAcentral.
CCUACGGGAGGCAGCAGUAGGGAAUCUUCCACAAUGGGCGCAAGCCUGAUGGAGCAACACCGCGUGAGUGAAGAAGGGUUUCGGCUCGUAAAGCUCUGUUGUUGGAGAAGAACGUGCGUGAGAGUAUCUGUUCACGCAGUGACGGUAUCCAACCAGAAAGUCACGGUUAAUUACGUGCCAGCAGCCGCGGUAAUACGUAGGUGGCAUGCGUUAUCCGGUUUUAUUGGGCGUAAAGCGAGCGCAGGCGGUUGCUUAGGUCUGAUGUGAAAGCCUUCGGCUUAACCGAAGAAGUGCAUCGGAAACCGGGCAACUUGAGUGCAGAAGAGGACAGUGGAACUCCAGGUGUAGCGGUGGAAUGCGUAGAUAUAUGGAAGAACACCAGUGGCGAAGGCGGCUGGCUGGUCUGCAACUGACGCUGAGGCUCGAAAGUAUGGGUAGCGAACAGGAUUAGAUACCCUUGUAGUC